AUUGAACGCUGGCGGCAGGCCUAACACAUGCAAGUCGAACGGUAACAGGAAGCAGCUUGCUGCUUUGCUGACGAGUGGCGGACGGGUGAGUAAUGUCUGGGAAACUGCCUGAUGGAGGGGGAUAACUACUGGAAACGGUAGCUAAUACCGCAUAAUGUCGCAAGACCAAAGAGGGGGACCUUCGGGCCUCUUGCCAUCGGAUGUGCCCAGAUGGGAUUAGCUAGUAGGUGGGGUAAGGGCUCACCUAGGCGACGAUCCCUAGCUGGUCUGAGAGGAUGACCAGCCACACUGGAACUGAGACACGGUCCAGACUCCUACGGGAGGCAGCAGUGGGGAAUAUUGCACAAUGGGCGCAAGCCUGAUGCAGCCAUGCCGCGUGUAUGAAGAAGGCCUUCGGGUUGUAAAGUACUUUCAGCGGGGAGGAAGGGAGUAAAGUUAAUACCUUUGCCCAUUGACGUUACCCGCAGAAGAAGCACCGGCUAACUCCGUG
RNAcentral lists this ribosomal RNA (490 nucleotides) under uncultured bacterium. Its description in RNAcentral is "partial 16S ribosomal RNA". It matches the Rfam family "Bacterial small subunit ribosomal RNA", at positions 30 to 507 of the family's 1533-position model. The record is from RNAcentral.